AAUUAAGGAUGUCAGCUGCUGAAAUUCACAGAAGACAGAAUAUAGUGAGAGCCACAUGGGCUGAAACAAUGAUCCAGGAAAAUCAAUUAAUUUCAGAAUUGAUAUCUUCUCUCAAAUGAAGAAUUUUUGUGGUAAGAAGUAGUGUAAAGAACGACUAAUGGAAAGCAAAGGUCCAGAGAGAUUGAGACAGACUUUCAGGAAAUACUUCUCUUUUUUGUAUCUGAAUAUAUGGAGAGGCUUCUUGCUACUUCAAAGUCUGAGUAUUUAGAAAAAGGCUUGGAAAGUCUGUAGUGUAAAGAGGAAUUGUAAAUGUAAUUGAAGUCCUUGAAAAAGGCAAGACAAACCCAAAGUGAAGUUUGUGGGCACGUUCCUCAUGAAUCUGCAGUGCACUGAGUUCCCCAGGGCUGCUCAGGUG
Cyanistes caeruleus (blue tit) is the source of this 415-nucleotide non-coding RNA. Lineage: Eukaryota; Metazoa; Chordata; Aves; Passeriformes; Paridae. The record is from RefSeq and is a predicted model, not a curated record.